ACAGCAAAACCAACAGAAAUCAGAAUGGUCCACACUUCCUUCUGGGAAGAGGAACAAUGUCCAUAAAAGAUUUAAAAAAUAAUAAAGAAGCAUGACUAUUUCUUCCAGCGUGGGUGACCCACAAGCUCACAUGGUCCUAAGUGCUUAGCAACUUGUAUUUUCUAAUCAAAUGAAGAACUGCUUUGAGUGCGCAAAGCAAUCCAUGGUGAAAAGAUUUCCCUGAAUUCCUCAGUGGAAAGAAGAGGUGUUGAGAUUUUCAGAACUUGAAGGUAUGAAUUCAUUGCUGAACAUAACACGCACCUCUGGGACGCAGGACUUGAGGGAAGUAAUCUGGAACUGACUGAAGGUCCCUCUGCAUGGAAGAGCUUCCAGAGUAAGGGAGGGCUCUUUUCCUCGUGGAUGCCCAAGCUUGCAUGCUCUUACUAAAUUGUUGGGUCACUUCGGAAGCUACCGUAGACAUUCAAGCGAUCUGGAUGACAUCUUCUUUAGGGAAAAGGGAAAGCUAGUAUCUGCAGGGACAUUUGGGCCUAUGGUGGAGACAAAAUGCAAGAUGUACAAAGGGUAUAACACUAAAUGUCUUAAGAAAGUUCUUAUUAAGCAAGUUGAUGAUCAUCCAAGAGAACUGCAUUCUCAUUUACUUU
RNAcentral lists this long non-coding RNA (641 nucleotides) under Mus caroli (Ryukyu mouse). RNAcentral describes it as "lncRNA (MGP_CAROLIEiJ_G0003480.1)". Lineage: Eukaryota; Metazoa; Chordata; Mammalia; Rodentia; Muridae. The record is from RNAcentral.